Molecule: ribosomal RNA, 253 nt
Filed under: uncultured bacterium
Lineage: Bacteria
Description: partial 16S ribosomal RNA
Rfam family: Bacterial small subunit ribosomal RNA
Source: RNAcentral
UACGGGGGGGGCAAGCGUUGUUCGGAAUUACUGGGCGUAAAGGGCUCGUAGGCGGCCAACUAAGUCAGACGUGAAAUCCCCAGGCUCAACCUGGGAACUGCGUCUGAUACUGGAUGGCUUGAAUCCGGGAGAGGGAUGCAGAAUUCCAGGUGUAGCGGUGAAAUGCGCAGAUAUCAGGAGGAACACCUGCGGCGAAGGCGGGUUGCUGGGCCGACACUGACGCUGAGGCGCGAAAGCCAGGGGAGCGAACGGG